Molecule: ribosomal RNA, 439 nt
Filed under: uncultured bacterium
Lineage: Bacteria
Description: partial 16S ribosomal RNA
Rfam family: Bacterial small subunit ribosomal RNA
Source: RNAcentral
CCUACGGGGGGCAGCAGUGGGGAAUCUUGCACAAUGGGGGAAACCCUGAUGCAGCGACGCCGCGUGAGUGAAGAAGUAAUUCGUUAUGUAAAGCUCUAUCAGCAGGGAAGAAAAUGACGGUACCUGAGUAAGAAGCCGCGGCUAACUCCGUGCCAGCAGCCGCGGUAAUGAGUAGGGGGCAAGCGUAAUCCGGAUUUAGUGGGUGUAAAGGGAGCGUAGACGGCAGUGCAAGUCUGGGGUGAAAGGCGGGGGCUCAACCCCCGGACUGCUCUGGAAACUGGACGGCUGGAGUGCAGGAGAGGUAAGUGGAAUUCCUAGUGUAGAGGUGAAAUGGGUGGAUAUGGGAGGAACACGAGUGGCGAAGGCGGCUUACUGGACUGUAACUGACGUUGAGGCUCGAAAGCGUGGGGAGCAAACAGGAUUAGAUACCCGUGUAGUC